CCCUCUGGGGUGCAGCAGGCGGAACGAUAAGUCACUGGUGAAAGCCUACAGCUUAACUGUAGAAUUGCCGUUGAUACUGUCGUUCUUGAGUGCAGUUGAAGUGGGCGGAAUGUGUUAUGUAGCGGUGAAAUGCUUAGAUAUAACACAGAACACCGAUAGCGAAGGCAGCUCACUAAGCUGCAACUGACGCUCAGGCACGAAAGCGUGGGGAUCAAACA
This 218-nucleotide ribosomal RNA is filed under the name uncultured prokaryote. RNAcentral's name for it is "partial 16S ribosomal RNA". It matches the Rfam family "Bacterial small subunit ribosomal RNA", at positions 565 to 774 of the family's 1533-position model. The record is from RNAcentral.